Molecule: small nuclear RNA, 84 nt
Organism: Spermophilus dauricus (Daurian ground squirrel)
Lineage: Eukaryota; Metazoa; Chordata; Mammalia; Rodentia; Sciuridae
Source: Ensembl
GUGCUCGCUUUGGCAGCACAUAUACUAAAAUAGGAACCCCUGAGUAAGGAUGAGAUAUAAAUUUGUGAAGAAGUCCAUAUUUGU